AGACUCCUCCUGUGUGGGGAGGGUGGGAACGCUUCUUACCUUCCGUCCCAUAAUCAACUGUCUUCUUUGAACAAUAGAUUGUGAAUAAUUUCACAUCCCGGAACAUUCUCUCUCCAGGCAUGAUUUUCGUGGCUGCAAAACAGCGGCUUCUCCAUCAUUACGCAACUGGCCUCUCUGAUCGUUUCCAGAUUGCUCUCGGCCAUGCACCUCCUUGUCUAAACUCCGUUCUGCACCACCAGCAGUAUCAUGGCCUGGGGAGAAGGGGCUGUGUGCUCCAUUCCAGGAUCAAGACUUUGUAGAAAUCAUGUUUUCUAGAUGGUUGUGGGCUGUUGUCAGCAGAAGGACUCAAGGCAAUUAACAUACAGCUAAUGAACUCCAAAGAGGCGCUUUGAUUUUUGAAGAAUCUGACUUGAGAACAAAUCAAGACUAAGACUAAUAUAGCCUCAUCUUUCAACAUAGGAGAGUCGGAAAACAGGCUGAGUCUGCGACACCCAAAUGCCUGCCACCACCACAUCCCGGUAUGUGGGUUCAGCACUUGACAGCUAACAGAUCUCUUUGCUAGAUACAGCAAUCACAUUUUCUGGUUAAGGGAGUGAAAUUAACA
RNAcentral lists this long non-coding RNA (604 nucleotides) under Homo sapiens (human). RNAcentral describes it as "HSALNT0399250". The record is from RNAcentral. Lineage: Eukaryota; Metazoa; Chordata; Mammalia; Primates; Hominidae.